GUGCGUGCGUGCGUGUGUGUGUGUGUGUGUGUGUGUGUGUGUAGGGGGUAUUUUCUGAGUGAACUAUAAGUGCAUCCAGAAACAGCCAGGAAGUCUUUCACUAUCUCGGUAAUUCUGAAUGUGAAACGGGAGCAAUUUUACUGCGUUCCUGGAGGAAGACUGCCUGGCUUAUGGAAUGGUGAGGUGAGGGAUGCUGAAGAUCAGAAGAAGAUUCUUUCUCUCGGAAUGAAAGUUUUAAUUAAAAAGACAUGGAGCAUUAGAGGCUGCGACACUCAGGCAGAUGAUUCCACAAGCCCUCAAGAGACGAGCUUUGAAGUCUCAGCCUUAGGUCAG
Peromyscus maniculatus bairdii (prairie deer mouse) is the source of this 333-nucleotide non-coding RNA. Lineage: Eukaryota; Metazoa; Chordata; Mammalia; Rodentia; Cricetidae. The record is from RefSeq and is a predicted model, not a curated record.